Molecule: long non-coding RNA, 1515 nt
Organism: Zeugodacus cucurbitae (melon fly)
Lineage: Eukaryota; Metazoa; Arthropoda; Insecta; Diptera; Tephritidae
Exons: 2
Source: RefSeq, a predicted model, not a curated record
CUUUAUCUAAUGGCACAUACUUUCUGUAAUAUUAAAUUCAUGUGCGUAGAAAUGAUUUUAUUAAAAUUUAAGUGCUGAGUUAUUCAGUUUGACUUAGCAGUUCGUUGAUGUAAGACGUGUGUGUCCACUGGGAACUCCAGUAUUGGGGCCUUACCGGACAGUAUAAAAAAAUGUGAUUCCUUUGGAUUUUUGGGUGAUCUACAACUUGACCCACUAAAUGUUCAAAUAGUUCAAAUGGAUUUGGUAACAUCGCAUCGGAACUGCAGUUUAACUCAACAACUUUCUAAAAGUCUGAAAUAACAGAUCAGCGCCUGUUAUUUCUUUUUUUUUCAAAUUCCGAUCUCCAGGACAUUUUAAAUAACCUUGAAUUAUAAUUCAUCCUUAAAAGUUUUUAAAUACGCUUGAGAGAUCGAGAGUGUUUGCGCUAACAAGAAAUCUACAAAAGUUUAAAAUAUGCUGAAAAUUAUUUUAUUUCCUUCAUGCCAUGAAUACACGCUUCUCAGUGAUUCUUAAAACCUUUGAAAUAACACUAAAUGAUCUUAGUUGAUAAAGCUUUUUAACUUUUUUGUUUUUCGAACAUGAUUCGGAUGAUUUAUCGUUAAAUUCUGCGUUCAUAGGCGACAAUUAAUAUAUCCUUGCCGAAGAACGAGGCAACAAUUUAGCAAAAAUUGGGCUUCGUAACUCAACUGCCAGUGGUUUAAAUAAUUUGAAUAAAUUUAUCGAUAGCAAACAUAGUUGACAAAUACUAUAUAUGAAAAUAUGUGUACUGAAAGAGCUUAACUAAGAAAUUGACGAUUAUAUUCCUGACAUUGUCAACAUAUUUUUGUAACUCAAGUCUUUAAGUCUUUUCGAUAAAUGUAUCAACAGCAAACAUAGGUGACAAAUACUAUAUACUUAAAUAUGUAUACAUAUUUAAAGAGAUUAAUUAAGAUUAAGAAUUGACGUUUAUAUUCCUUCACAUUGUUAAAAUGUUGUAAGUGGUAUACUUGUAAAACUUAUUGAAUCCAAAAAGCUGCCAUAAUUUUGAAGCAGAACCUUAGCAAACUUUGAAAGCGAGUCUGUUCUGUAAAGAAUUGUCAACGAAUUUGCACACAGCACUUUUUUGACACGAAAUACUUUUUUUUUAAUUAUUUAUUUUGUCCAGAGCUUUAAAUCUUUCUAAAAUAAUUAACUUGACAAACUACUUGUCAUUAACAAAUCCUUAAAAUUUGUAUUCUUUGAAAUAUAUAUUAUAACUCUGUAUAAAUAUAUUUAUUAAUAAAAUCUGCAAUUAGUAUUGUAGCAAAAGCUUUAGAAAGCUGUUUAAUAAAUAUGUUUAAUGCAAAAAAUAUUUCACCGUCCUUUGAAAGAAAACAACUUUAGGAAGCUUUAUGAUACCUAAGCGAAUAUGCAUUUUUAGGUUUAGAAAGCUCUAAAUUAAAUAAAUUGUAUUUUAAAUGUUUUUUAAUACUACUUUAAAAUGAAGAUUAUAAUGUUUUUUAAUAUUUGUGAAUAAAAAUACAUAUGUAUAAUAUA